This 229-nucleotide ribosomal RNA is filed under the name uncultured bacterium. RNAcentral describes it as "partial 16S ribosomal RNA". It matches the Rfam family "Bacterial small subunit ribosomal RNA", at positions 568 to 796 of the family's 1533-position model. The record is from RNAcentral.
UGCGUAGGCGGAUUUUUAAGUCAGUGGUGAAAUCCUACAGCUUAACUGUAGAACUGCCAUUGAUACUGUAGAUCUUGAGUACGGUUGAGGUGGGCGGAAUGUGUCAUGUAGCGGUGAAAUGCUUAGAUAUGACACAGAACACCAAUUGCGAAGGCAGCUCGCUAAACCGUAACUGACGCUGAGGCACGAAAGCGUGGGGAGCGAACAGGAUUAGAUACCCUGGUAGUCC